AGAGUUUGAUCAUGGCUCAGGAUGAACGCUAGCGGCAGGCUUAACACAUGCAAGUCGAGGGGUAUUGGUUUUCGGACCAAGAGACCGGCGCACGGGUGCGUAACGCGUAUGCAACCUACCUUUUACAGGGGGAUAGCCCAGAGAAAUUUGGAUUAAUACCCCAUAGUAUAUAGUCUUUGCAUGAGGGCUAUAUUAAAGUCACAACGGUAAAAGAUGGGCAUGCGUCCCAUUAGCUAGAUGGUAAGGUAACGGCUUACCAUGGCUACGAUGGGUAGGGGUCCUGAGAGGGAGAUCCCCCACACUGGUACUGAGACACGGACCAGACUCCUACGGGAGGCAGCAGUGAGGAAUAUUGGUCAAUGGGCGCAAGCCUGAACCAGCCAUGCCGCGUGCAGGAUGACGGUCCUAUGGAUUGUAAACUGCUUUUGUACGAGAAGAACAACAUUACGUGUAAUGUCUUGACGGUAUCGUAAGAAUAAGGAUCGGCUAACUCCGUGCCAGCAGCCGCGGU
RNAcentral lists this ribosomal RNA (511 nucleotides) under uncultured Flavobacterium sp. RNAcentral's name for it is "bacterial SSU rRNA". It matches the Rfam family "Bacterial small subunit ribosomal RNA", at positions 8 to 521 of the family's 1533-position model. Lineage: Bacteria; Pseudomonadati; Bacteroidota; Flavobacteriia; Flavobacteriales; Flavobacteriaceae. The record is from RNAcentral.